This 76-nucleotide ribosomal RNA is filed under the name Acanthosepion pharaonis. Lineage: Eukaryota; Metazoa; Mollusca; Cephalopoda; Sepiida; Sepiidae. The record is from RNAcentral.
AUCACCGAAGUUAAGCAUCGUAGAGCCAGGUCAGUACUUAGAUGGGGGACCGCUUGGGAACACCUGGUACUGUAAG